This 18114-nucleotide long non-coding RNA is filed under the name Gossypium barbadense (sea-island cotton). Its description in RNAcentral is "long non-coding RNA (GBAR_LNC021550)". Lineage: Eukaryota; Viridiplantae; Streptophyta; Magnoliopsida; Malvales; Malvaceae. The record is from RNAcentral.
CUGAAAAUAAGAAACUAAAAAUUUUAGCUUUUUCUCUCUCAAAAACAUUUUUAGUGCUUAAUUACUUUUUUACCCCUCUAAUAACAUAGUAUUUUUCUUUUUUUUUCUUGGUGCUUAAUUACAAUUGUGUUAAAAUCAUUAAUUAAAAAUAAAAAAUAUUUUUUAAAAUACUAAUUACAAAUAUUUAAAAUAUAGUUAAUAUAUUCUAAUUAAAUUUUAUAAAUAAUUAAUAUUUAUUACUUAAAAAUAUUUACAAUUUAUAUUUCAUAUAUUAAAAUAUUAACAAGUUAUAAUAAAUUUUUUAUAUUAUUACUAAAAUAUAAUUGUAAUACCCAAUUUUAAACCCGGACCCAAAUAAAUAAGCAUCAAAAAAUAAAACAACAGCCCAAAUACAUUUGGCCCAAUAAGGCCCAAGUCAAUAAAGCCCAAACUAUUAAUCCUAGCCCAAUUACAGAGUGGCCCAAAAAGUUCAGCAGAAACCCUAGGCAGUUUGCCCAGCGCCACACACGUCCUCACGCCGCAGCAACCGUCCCAUUGCUCCACGUUCUUGCUCGCACGUCCAGUAGCCUCGCACAACGCAAGUUUUCCCCACACACAUGCAGCAAACGAUCAAUAAUAGCAGAAAAUAUGGCAAAAAUGUAAGUGGGGAGAGUGUUUUUGAGGGUUUUGUUUUUUGGAUUCGGCUAUAAAAAGGCCAAUCAAUCUCUGUAAUGGGGUUAGAAAAUUUUUGUACCGAAAUUUAAGAGAAAGUACAAAAGAAAAAGAAAUAGAAAAGAAAAAAGUUUUUGAAGGUGAUUAUUUUGUUUUUUUUCUCUUUAUUUUUACUGUUUUUUUUUGACGUUCUUCUUUGUUUUUUAAAGCAAAUAAACGAAUAGGGGGAGAAAGGAGGCUUACCUGGUGUCACCGGAGCGUCGUCGGAGGCCAAGGGACGACUUAGCGGCGGUGAAUCUUUGACGGUGGCGACGUGUGGGGGGUGCUAAGAAAAAACCUAGCAGAGAACCCCCCUUUUUCCCCUCUGUUCUUUAAAGAAAAUGAAAUAAAGAUAUUUUUAAAGGAAAUUUUUUUUCUUAUUUUUUUUAAAUAUUAACGAAAGGUGGUGCCGUUUAAUGGCCAUUGAUUUGUUUUUUUAUUCAAAUGGUUGAUUUUCGAAACUGGUCCUUUCUUUUUACAGUGCUUUUAAAUUAAAUUAUUUAUUUCUUAUAAAUUUGGCCACAUGUUUUAUAACUGUUUCAAUUUAACCUGUGUUGCAGUGCAGUGUUUUAGUGGAAGGGAUUAAUUUCUAUUUUGGUCCCCCACUGUUAAUUGCGUGUUCUAAUUGGUCCAUUUGUAUUUUAUUAUUUUCAAACUUACCCUUUUUUUUAAAUUAAGGUUUAAAUUAGUCCUUUUGUCAUUUUUCGUUGUUAUUGUAUUAUUUGUUAUUAUUAUUAUUAUAUUUACAUAUAUACUCGCCUAUGUAUUUUAUAAUACAUAUGUAUUUUAAAUGUUUUAACUACAUAUACAUAUUUUAUUAUUCUAUUACUAUUCUAUUUUCAUACUUGUUGUAUAUAUGUAUAUAUCUAUAUUUUGUAAUACUUAUACGGUUUCCCAAUUUUAUAAUUUUUAUGUUUAUACAAUUAUUUUUAUAACAUGUACAUAUAUAUUUUCGUACUCUUUUCAAGGCUAUUAUAAAUAUUUUCCAUGUUUUUAUAUUUACUAAUACAUUAUACUUAUACAUUCUUUUUUAAAUGCGUUAUUAUUUUAUAUGUAUUUUAUCAUUGCUUUUUAUGACUUACGUUUUUUCUCUCUCAUAUCCAUAUACAUAUUUGCUAAAAUUGUUUAUAUAUUAUGCUUAUGUAUAUACAUAAUUUAAAUUAAAAUAUUUGUUCCAUAUCGCAUUGACAUUUUUAACGUAUUUUUCAAAUACAUUUUGUUUUUGUCAAAAUAUUAAAAUCGUUUUUUAUGAUUUAAAGGUUUUCAAAAUAAUGAACGAUAUUCAAAGUUAGGGAUUUUCGAGGAAAAUUGAGCCCUAACGUAUUGGGUUCUGGUUUUCUUUGUUAAUUCCAAAUAACCAAGAAUAUGUUAUUUAAAAUAUAUAAGUAAAAAUCAUUUUUGGGAACUUAAUUUGUUAUGUCCUAACGUAUUGGGCAUGACAUAAUUGCUUCCUCGAAAUGAAGAUUUACUUAUAAAGCAAAAGUAAUAUUCAAAAUUCGGGAAUUUUGAGAAAUUGUACCCUAACGUAUUGGGUCUCAAUUUCUUCGCAUGACUUGAAUAAUUGACUAUCCUUUUCAGAUUUCAAUAUUUGAGUUUUUUAAAAAAAUCUUUUAAAUUUUUGACACCAAGACAUUAAAUAAUCAAUUUGGUAUCGAUUUUUGGGGCGUUACGAGGGUGCUAACCCUUCUGCGUGCGUAACUGACUCCCGAACCUAUUUUCUCAAAUUUCGUAGGCCAAAAUUAUUUUAGGUGAACCGAUCACACCUCGAUAAAGGAUCGGUGGCGACUCUAAUUUUUGUUUGUUUAAAAGUCGAUAACUAAAUUUUUGUUUUCAAAAAAAUGGUUUCGACAGCUUGGCGACUCCACUGGGGACUUCGAGAGUCGAGCCAUAAAUUGAUUAUUUGGUGUCUUUUUGUCGAAAAUUAAAGUUUUUUUUAAAUCAUAAUUUGCCUUUGCAUUCAUUGAUUCUCAUUGUUUGCUUGUUUGGCUUAAGUCUAUUAUCUUAUUUGCAUUUUGCAUCUCAUAACGUCUGUCAUUUUUACCCCUUUAAGUGGGAGUGAGAAGCUACUCCUUAGUGAGGUUUUCACCUCCGUGCAGGAUAGUGGAUCACUUUCGGGAUACAUCUGUACUUAUGUCUUCGUGAGAUUUUCAUCUCCGUGCAGCCAUAGGGAAAUGUAUUCCCCUGAACCGAACUCGGUCUAUAUGAUCCUAUAAUGGGUGAGGAUCGAAGAAUCUGCUGGUUCGGGUACCUUUGCUCUUAACCUUAGUAGAUACCUAAUUAGGAGUUUUACUAUUUCUUGGUUGUAUUGUAUUUAAUUGAUACUGACUUUUUGUGUUUUACUUUGAUUGCAUAACAUUUCAAUUACAUGGCAUCUCAUUUUAGAAAGGCGUUGGUUCGUAUUCAAUUACUAGAUAGAAAGCUUAUCAUGAAAAAAGGGUUUCUUGAUAAAGUGGAAGAUAAUGCGGCUGUCCGAACUUGGGCUGAGAUGACGCAGAGCGAAAAAGGUGAUAGUUUGGCUGAGGGGUACGUAUCAGAAUUAUGGGACUUCACCCGUGUUAGCGUAACCCAGAACAACUUGCAAGAGUUGAAGGAGAUUUGGGAUCAAUGGAAUGAUGAGAUUAGACAGUUAUUCUUUUCAAAUUACGGGGAUUUACCUUAUUUACUUGAUAUGAAGGUAGAUAAGCGUCUGUUUCAAGCUCUUGCCCAGUUUUGGAACCCGGCCUACAGUUGCUUCACAUUUGGGAAUGUCGAUUUGGUGCCUACGAUAGAAGAAUACAUGGCUUUACUUUGGUGUUCGAAGAUUCUAGUGGAUAAGGUCUACUCGAAAGCUAUAAAUGCACCGACCUUUUUGAAGAGGUUGAUGAAUAUAACAGGGAUGAGUGAGCAGUGGGUCACAGCUCGGAUCAAGCAAAAGGAAGAUAGCAAGUGUAUUCCCUGGAAACGAGGCAGUCACUGACUUAUUUGAUCGGCUUGAAAAGAGAGUUACACUAGUGACGGAAAUCUUGGCAGAAACCUUCUGGUCAUUGAAUGCGUGCCGGAGAGCGGGAGAAGGUAGAUUCAUUGGAUGUGCGCAGCUCUUACUUGCGUGGUUCCAUAGUCACUUUUGGAAGGUCAAUAAGGUUUCGUAUCGGGUAUUCUCUGACAAUUAUUCACCAUUGAAAGAAAUAGUGGCUACACCGAGGAGGGAUGACAUCUCGGAAAAGAAAUGGAUGGUUAUUUUUCAGAAUUUGCAGGAGGGGGAUAUCAAGUGGAGAGCUCCGUGGUUGCUUCCAGACGGGAUCCUAUAUCGAUGUGGCCAUUUUGAUUGGGUUCCUUUGAUUAGGAUUUGGGGAGCCGUUGGGUAUGCACUAUUGCUAGUACUAAGGCAAUACAGGUCAAGACAGUUCGUGCCUGCAACUCAGGGAUUGGCCGAGUGUGAAUUCUCGUACAGGGGCGAUGGUUACAAGAGGAGAGUUCGUGAGAUGGUCAGUGCAUGGAAUCAGACUCACCGAAUGAAGGGAUUAGCUGUGGGUCCGAUGACAACUCUCGAGUAUGGCGAAUGGUGGGCUAAGAGGAUUAACGAUAACAUUCCUGGGCCGGGUUCAGAAAAUAGUCAAUCAAUAGAGGAGUAUUUGCGUGUUGUCUCUACUGAGCUGGAAAUCAUAAAGCAAGACUUUGAAAGGAAAAAUGCAGAAUUAGAGAAGAAAAUAGAGCAAAUAAAGGAGGAAAAGGUGAAUUUGAAACUGGAUGUGGAUGUUCAGAAGAUCGAGGCUAAUAAGCUAAGGAAGGGAAAGAAUAAGGCUGAAGAAGAAUUAAAUAGCUUGAAGACGGAUUAUAAAAAGCUACGUCUGUCGAUGAGAAUUGCAGGGCUUGGAAAAACUUCAGAACAGUGGCGUGAAGAAAUUCGAGAAGAAAGAAAUAGGUUAGACUGGUGGGAAAGAAAAUUUCGAGAAGUGCAAGCUCGAAAUGAAGCAUUAGAAAGGAGCUUGUCAGAGAGCCAAAAGGAAAAAAGAGACCAAAAGACAGGGUGGUUGAGUUAGAAGGGUCUCUUCGUCAAUACAGAAGUCGAAAUUCUGUAGUAGAGCUAAAGGCAAGCUUAAGCAAGAUUGAAGAGAUAAAGGGUAAGAUAGAAGAGUUGGAAGCAGCAUUACGAAGUUGUGAGGUUCGGAUUGAGCAUCUAGAGGCAAAGGAAGGUCGUCAGAAUGAGCAACUUCAUUAUUUCCAAGAUCAAGUCAGAAAUAGGGAUCGCGUUAUGGGAGAAGCUGUGGUGCAGAUUCGAGAGGUAGUAGAUCACUUACAAACUUUGGCCGUACAAGCUGACACAUUGAGCGUAAAGUAUGAGCUAGAGUCAGAUCAAGGACAAGAGUUAGCAUCGUUGCUUAAAAAGAUCAAGGUCUUAAGUAUUAGGGCAAAGCCAUAUUUGUAACCCAUUCUAUGUAAAGAAAUUUAUUUUCUAAUAAAGUUUUUUCUGAAAGUAAUUGAAAUUAGAAUUAACGCCUUUUAUGUAUUCAUUUUUCAUACAUCGCAUUGCAUGCAUUUAAAAAUUAUCAAAGGGUUCUGAUUAAAUCAAAAUCAUUCCUUAGUUAAUCUGGAAUCUAACCAGCCAACUCAGCACCAUUACGGUACACGAGCAAAAUCAAGAAGUAUGGAUCAAAGAUUAGAAAAGAUUGAGCAAUUCCAGAAAGAAAUGCAGGAUCAAAUUCAGCAGCAAAUGCAGGAGCAGUUCGAGAAGAUUUAGCAGAAAAUGAUGGAUAAAAUGGCAGAAUCCCAAGGAAGCAUGAUGACCCAGUUAACUCAAUUCUUGACUGGUGGAAAGGAUAAAGGAAAGGGCCCCAUGGCCAAUGUUGAGGAGGAAGGUGAUGACGGACUCCUAUAUCCUCCCGGCUUCACUCCUCCAUAUGUGUUGCCCCAAGCGGAAGUGCACCCGCGUAAAUCUUCUGUUACGAUUAGGCCUCAACAAUUUCAGGCCGAUGCUUCAAGGUCGAUGAAUUUCCAGGUCAGAUCAGGCUCCAAUCCUGAGAAUAAUCCUGCCAAUCCUAUUGUUCCUAAUUUCGAUGAAGUAGUUGGAAAAGAGAAAACAAAAGAGGAAUUACCAAAGCAAUUAGAAGAAAGAUGUAAGUGGAUUGAGGAGAAAUUCAAAGCGAUGGAAACUACUGAAAGAUGCCAUGGGAUUGAUGCUAAGGAUUUAAGUUUGGUACCAGAUUUAGUGCUCCCUUACAAGUUUAAAAUGCCGAAUUUCGAGAAGUAUAAUUGGACCACUUGCCCUGAAGCCCACAUUACUAUGUUUUGUAUGCGAAUGACUGGGUAUGUCAAUAAUGACCAGUUAUUGAUACACUGUUUUCAGGAUAGCCUCACGGGGGCAGCGUCUAAAUGGUAUAAUCAAUUAAGCCGUGCUAGGAUCAACUCUUGGAGGGAUUUAGCACAGGCUUUUAUAAAACAGUAUAGUCAUGUGGCGGAAAUGGUUCCUAAUAGGAUUACUUUGCAGAACAUGGAGAAAAAGUUGAAUGAAGGUUUUAGACAGUACGCUCAGAGGUGAAGGGAGGUGGCCGUGUAGGUCCAACCACCGCUCCUUGAAAGAGAAAUGACGAUGCUCUUUGUAAAUACGCUGAAGGCCCCCUUCAUCACACACAUGUUAGGCAGUGCCACGAAAAAUUUUGCUGACAUAGUCAUGAGUGGUGAGAUGAUUGAAAGUGCUGUAAAGAGCGGGAAGAUUGAUGUUGGAGAGAACAACAGAAGGCAAAACUCAAAGAAAAAAGAAAGUGAGGUGAACAAUGUGAAUACAUACAACAAGUCAAUUACGGUGAAUUAGCCCAGGAAGGUAGUGGCAGGUCAACAGGGUUCAUCUAAGCAGGAAUCUGGUGUGAGGCCAAAUACUGAGAGGCCCCAGUUCACACCCAUCUCUAUGUCAUGCAAAGAGUUGUAUCAGAAUCUAUUUAACGCGCACGUUGUUGCCCCAUUUUAUUUGACUCCUUUACAGCCUCCAUAUCCUAAAUGGUAUGAUGCAAAUGCACAAUGCGAUUACCAUGCAGGAGUUACGGAGCACUCCAUAAAGCAUUGUACUUCUUUUAAAAAGCUUGUUGAGAAGCUCAUUAAGAUGGGCGUUGUCAAGUUAGAUGAUUCAUCAGGUACAGAAAAUCCAUUACCCAAUCAUGCUGAUGCUGGGGUAAACAUGGUGGGUGAAGGUACAGGGAAGAAGGUCAAGGAGAAUAUUGUUGAGGUAAAGAUCCCUUUGAAGAGGGUGUGAAAAGAAAUAGUAGGAAGAGGUUUAAUUGUUUUGGAUUUAGUGGGGGGUUGCAAGACCCAAAAUUAUUGUGAGUUCCAUCAUGAGAUGGGACAUGAAAUUCAAAGAUGUGAGAAGUUUAGAGCUCUGAUCCAGAGCAUGAUGGAUAAUGGAGAAAUAGAGUUUUUUGAAGAGGUGGAAGGAAAAGAAAGUAUAUGCACAUCGGAGUCAGAGACGAGGAUUCCAAAGGUUAAUCAUCCUGUGAUUAUCAUUUCGCACCCUAAGGUUACUGAAGUUAGGGCACAGGUGACACCGAAGAUUGUUAUUCAAAAGCCGACGAAGUUUUCGUAUAAGGAUAGCAAGAAUGUCCCCUGGAAUUAUGAGUGCGAGGUAACAGUUUCAGGGAAGGAAACUUCAAUUAGUGUUGUGAAAGAAAACCAAAAGACAUGUUCUUAUAUGAAUACUGAGGAGUACUACAGUCGAAUAAAUGCUCAAGCAGAAUCGGUAGAGGGAAAGGUCCUUGCGGCAGAGCAAAAAGAGAGGAGGGUUGAAUUAAGGCCAUUGAUUAAAGAGCCAAUAAAGGAAGAAGAGGCCACUGAAUUCUUAAAAUUUUUGAAACACAGUGAGUAUAGCGUGGUAGAAUAGCUACAUAAGCAACCAGAUCGUAUAUCUGUGUUGGUUUUGCUCAUGAAUUCAGAGUUACAUCGAAAUGCGCUGAUGAAGGCUUUAAAUAAAGCAUACGUGGCAAGUGAUAUUUCUGUCAACCAAUUGGGUCGGUUGGUCAACAAUAUAAGUGCUGAUAAUUUUAUCUUCGUCAACGAUGACGAAAUACCAUCUGGAGGUAUGGGGUCCACUAAAGCUCUGCACAUUACUGCUCGGUGUAAAGGAAGCAUGGUGUCAGGAGUUUUGAUUGAUAAUGGGUCUACAUUGAAUGUACUGCCCUUAUCUACUCUCAAUAGACUACCUGUGGAUAGCUCACAUAUGAAAACGUGUCAAAAUGUGGUGAGGGCAUGCGAUGGAACAGAAAAGAAAGUUCUGGGGAGAAUUGAGAUACCAUUGCUGAUUGGCCCAAAUAUUUAUGAAGUAGAUUUCAUUGUAAUGGAUAUCAAGCCUUCAUAUAACUGUUUAUUGGGGAGACCUUGGAUACAUUCGGCAGGGGCUGUGCCUUCAUCGCUGCAUCAGAAGUUAAAAUUAGUGUCAGAAGGACGGUUAGUGACAAUAAAUGCCGAGGAAGGUAUUAUUGCAUCAAUAACCAGCAAUACGCCAUACGUGGAGACGGAUGAGGAGAUGAUGGAAUGUUCUUUCUGGACUUUGGAAUUCGUAAAUGCAACAUUUAUUACUGAAGGGAAUAGAAUUCCAGUACCGAAGAUAUCCAGGUCUACAAGAAUGGGCCUUCAAUUAAUGGUGGGAAAAGGAGCUGUACCGGGAAAAGGAUUGGGAAGAUAUUUGCAAGGAGGAGUUGAAGUACCAGUGAUGAAAGAAAAGUUUGAUCGUUUUGGUCUGGGCUAUAGACCAGAUGUAAAACAAAGAAGAAAGGAAAUGGAGAGAAGACAGGAGAGAAGAAGGGCACGCUUGAGUGGAAAUGAAGUUAGGUGGGAGCCUAUGGCUUUUCCUCAUGUAUCCAAGACUUUCGUAUCAGGAGGGUUUAUGUAACACCCCUUACCCGUAUUCAACUCCGGAAUAGGGUAUGAGGUAUUACUAGAACACUUACACAUGUAAACGUAUCAAACCGAGUUACAAAAUUUCAUUCAAAUUUAAACUCUUCAAAUUUUUAACAUGCUUUUAUAAUUCUUUACAACAUAUCCUCAAAAUAUUAUAUUCAUAACAAAUAGGACCUACGAGACCCGAUACUUACUCAUGUAAUUCAAAGCUUCAUUUCCAUUUUAUUCAAUUCACAAUCUUUCAUGUUCAUAAUUCAAAUCAAUUUCUCAAUCCAAUAUAUAUAUAUUUCAAUACCACACUUUCAUACUAUGAAACUUUAUUUUCCCAUAUGAGCUUAAACCAUGAUCAUCACAUACCAAAGACAAAUGUUCUUUGACAUUUCCAUCACAUAGACCGAAUUAAUCAAUGCAACUCAAUGAUAUAAUCACCCAUAUAUCAUUAUUAUCACAUAUAUAUAUGUCAUGACUAAAUUUCUUAAACAUUUGAUCAAUUGUUUUUCAAUACCGCAAUAGUUCCUUCAGUACCAAUAUGUAUUUACCAUUCAAUUUAACAUUUACCGAUUAUAAUCGGGCAUAUGACCAUUAUACACAAUUCUUUCAUACAUUUUAUUGUCCUCCUCCUCCUCUCCAUUCCACAUCCUUUAUGUAUAAAACAUGCUUAAAUAACAUUAUACAUAAUUUCACUUUUCACUUAUAUUUAAAUUCAAAGCUGUCUAUUUGAGUUAGAGUCACUAAAUCAUUUUUAUCUAAAGCUACAGAGCUCCAAAUUAAGAUUCUUUAAUUUUCCUUGAAACUAUACUCACAUGUGUUCUUACCAUAAAAUUUUAAGAAUUUUUGAUUUGGCCAAUUAGUACAUUUUAUUCUUUAAAGUCACCCCUUUUUCACUGCUCAACAUAUCUGACCUCUCUUCACUAAAAAUGAAUUAUCUCAUUGUACAAAACUUGGAUGAUAUUUACGUUUGUUCUUUUUGAAAAUAGACUCAUUAAGGAUUCUAAGCAUAUAAAUUAUAACUCAUAAUAAUUUUUUUACAAUUUUUAAUUAUUUUUCAAAGUUAGAACAGGGGAUUCCGAAAUCAAUCCGACCUUGCCUCACUAAAAUUAAAAUAUCUCAAAAUUUAUAACUCUUUUGCUUUCUCUGUUUCUUUUAUGUAAACAUAGACUCCUUAAGAUUUCAUUUCAUAUCUUAUUCACUCUCUAAUUCAAUUUCCACCAUUUUUGGUGAUUUUUCAAAGUCACACUAUUGUUACUGUCCAAAACUGUUUUGUUGCUAAUUCUACUUUUUCAUAAUUUCACUUUUUCACUUUUAAUCACUAUUCAAUUCAAAAUUCACUUUUCCAUUUUCAAGUCAAUAUUCAAUUCAAUUCCACACAUAUAUUCAUUAUUCAAUUACACUUAAUCGUUACAUGAUCUCAUGUAUUUUCAUUUAGUCAAUUUCCCGUUGAACACUCGGAAUAUACACGGAUACGUAGAGAAUUAGCACAUAAGUGCCACACUGAUAUGUAGCCGAAGCUACCACUGAAAUGUAGCCGAAGCUAUCACUGAUCAAUAACAUUGGAAAUGUCCACGGGCCUGCUCACACAAGGUGUCAGGUGUCUGCAACACAUGCUAGAUCACCCAGCACCCGGGACUCACUGUAACACUGUAACACUGAUCUCUAGUGACAUGUCACUUGUAUCCACUUCUAUUCCUAAGUUCAACCGGGAAUUUACACUUAACACUUUAUUUUCAACACUUUAUCACUUGAAUAAUUCAUGAACAAUUUUCCGUCCACAUUCAAUAUUGAUUCACAUAUCAAAUAAAAUUCACAAUUUAUAAAAGUAUAUUACUAUUAUUUACAUAUAACUUACUUUGAUGCAACAAUAUAAAAAUUUAGCAAUUUAGUCUUGAAUCUUUUCUUUUCUCCGGUCAAUGUCGAUUCCACUUCUUUCUUGAUCUACAAUAACACAUUUGACUUAUUUAGUACUCAAAUUUAUCAAAACAGUCCUUGACUCAAAAUUUGGAAAAAUUAUAAUUUUGCCCCUAAAUUUUGCAUAUUUACACUUUUGCCCCAAAGCUCGUAAAUUAAACUUCAUCCCUUAUUCUUAUGUAUUAUGACAUGCUGAACAUUUUUCCCUUCUAUGGCAACAUCAAAUUCUCACUCUAACACUUACUUAUGAACAUUUAGUAUUUUUAUCGAUUAUGUCGUUUUACUCGUUUUUACUCAAAAUCGCUUAGCAAAAGUUGCUUAACAUAAUUUCUAGCUUCAUAUUCUACCAUAAAACAUCAAAAUAAACACAUUUCAGAUAUGGGUAUUUUUCCAAAUAUAAACCCUAGAUUAAAUUAUUGCUAGAAUAAGCAAAAUCAAGUUACCGGGACUCCAAAAACGUAAAGAACAUUAAAAACGGGGCUUAGAAUCACUUACUAUGGAGCUUGGAAGCUUGAAAAGCCUAACAAUGGCUUCCACCCUUGCUGAUUUCGUCCAAAUGAAGAAGAUGAGCACAAUUUGCAAUCUUUUUCCCUUUUAAUUCAUUUUACUUACUAGAUUACCAAAUUGCCCCUAACUUAAAAUUUUCCUAUUUCACUUAUCUCAUGCCCAUUUUUGUCUACCAACUUAACCAACGGUCUAAUUACCAUAUAAGGACCUCCAAUUUAAAGUUUCAUAACAAUUGAACACCUCUAACAUGUAGAACUCAACUUUUGCACUUUUUACAAUUUUGUCCUUUUGACUAAAUUGAGUGCCCAAACGUUGAAAUUUUCGAACAAAAUUUUCAAAAAAUCAUUCUGUGAAAUCGUAGACCAUAAAAAUAUAAGAAAAAUAAAUUUUUCCUUGUCGGAUUUGUGAUCCCGAAACUACUGUUCUAACUAGGCCCAAAAUCGGGCUGUUACAGUUUAUUCAUCCUAAACGAAGAGUGCUUAAAGUGAAAGGCGUUGAAGAAUUGCUUGGAGAUGUCCACAUCAAUGCUCUAGACACAGUUGAAAGAGAGACUUGGCCAGAGAUUCGCCCUUACGAGCCUAGAAGUGAUCUGAACAAUUGGACUGCGGAAGAGAUUCCUGUAGUUUUUAGAGCUUGUUCAGAGUAAAUAUGCAGAACAUCCUUGUUGUUUUUUACUUAAAAUAUAAUGUCUUUAUGGAUUAGGCACAUGUUGAAUGUUAUAAUUUCAAUAAAUACACUUUUUCAUAUGCAUUUUUGAGCCAGCAUUCUUUUAUUCUUUUUCGAGUAAUUAUUAUUUUAUUCUUUUUUCAACAUCAUUCUUUUAUUCAUUUCAUAAUCAUAUUUUGUUCAUAAAUUCAUAUAUUCUUUGUAUAUUCUUUGGCACCUGCCAUAGGUCCCUAGAUAUCAAUGAUAUGAAUGAAGCUGCUUUAGACUCAGAAUCACCUUUUGAACAAGACAUGUGUUUAGAGGGAUCACAGGAUUUUGAAGAUGACGUGGACUGUGAUGUAUCUCCGGACUUAUUGAGAAUGGUAGAAUAGGAAGAUAAGCAAAUCUUACCUCAUAAAGAAUCAUUGGAGAUUGUAAGUCUAGAGGAGGCAAAAGAGGUAAAGAUCGGAACUGACAUUUCCACCAAGACAAGGCAAAACCUCAUUGAAUUACUCUGGGAAUUCAAAGAUGUCUUUGCAAGGUCAUAUCAAGAUAUGCCUGGGUUAAGCACUGAUAUUGUGGUGCACUGUCUUCCCAUAAAAGAAAAUUGCAAGCCAGUUCAGCAGAAGCUUAGAAGAAUGAGGCCUGACAUUGUGCUAAAGAUAAAAGAAGAAGUCAAGAAGCAGUUUAAUGUUGGGUUCUUGCAAGAAGUUAAGUAUUAAGAAUGGGUAGCUAAUGUUGUCCCUGUUCCUAAGAAAGAUGAGAAGGUGUGAAUGUGUAUGGAUUAUAUGGAUUUGAACAGGGCCAGUCCAAAAGAUAAUUUUCCGUUACCUCACAUUGAUGCUUUGGUAGACAAUACUGCAGGCUAUUUAUUGUUUUCUUUCAUAGACAGUUUUUCUGGAUAUAAUCAAAUAAAGAUGCAUCCAUAAGAUAUGAGAAAGACCACAUUUAUCACUUUAUGAGGAACGUUCUGUUAUAAAGUGAUGCCCUUUGGAUUAAAGAAUGUGGGGGCAACUUAUCAAAGAGCUAUGGUAACUUUAUUUCAUGACAUGAUGCACAAAGAGAUUGAGGUUUAUGUUGACGAUAUGAUCGCGAAAUCCAGAACGGAAGAGGAGCAUGUUCAAGUUCUGCGAAAAUUAUUUUUGAGACUAAGAAAUUUCCAGCUCAAGCUUAAUCCAACAAAGUGCACCUUUGGGGCCAGAUCGGGGAAGUUGUUGGGCUUUAUAGGCAGUGGGAAAGGGAUUGAAGUUGACCUAGACAAAGUUAGGGCAAUACGAGAUUUGCCUCUACCAUACACUCAGAAAGAAGUACGGGGUUUUUUAGGAAGACUGAAUUAUAUUUCUCGGUUUAUUUCACAACUAACUGAGAAAUGUGAUCCCAUAUUCCGUCUUCUAAAGAAGCAUAAUCCGGGCAUAUGGGAUGAAGAAUGCCAGAAGGCUUUUGAUAAAAUAAAACAAUAUUUGUCUAAUUCUCCAGUGCUAUCACCACCUAAUCCGGAUAGGCCAUUAAUAAUGUAUUUAACAGUAUUUGAAAAUUCCAUGGGGUGCGUGUUAGGCCAACAUGAUGAGACAGGGAGAAAAGAAAGGGCAAUAUACUAUCUCAGUAAGAAGUUCACUGAUUGUGAAGCGAGAUAUUCGUCUAUUGAGAAGUUGUGUUGUGCUCUGGUUUGAACAACUCGAAGAUUACGGCAAUAUAUGUUGUAUCAUACAACUUGGCUGAUUUCAAAUUUAGACCAUUUAAAGUAUAUGAUGGAGUCGAUUGCUUUGAAUGGGAGGAUGGCCAAAUGGCAGAUCUUGCUUUCUGAAUUUGACAUAGUGUAUAUGAGUCAGAAGGCUGUGAAAGGGAGUACAAUAGCUGACUUUUUAGCUAGCAGAGCCCUGGUGGAUUAUGAGCCUUUGAACUUUGAUUUCCCAAAUGAGGAUUUGAUGUACGUGGCAACCACUGAAGAAAAUCUCCAAAUGGAUCAGGUGUGGAAGUUAAAUUUUGAUGGAGCCUCAAAUGCUGUAGGUAAUGGAAUUGGGGCAGUCCUGAUAUCUCCAAGCGGAGAUCAUUAUCCUUUUGCUAGCAAACUGAAUUUUGAUUGCACUAAUAAUAUGGUAGAAUAUGAAGCGUGCGUUAUGGGCAUUCGUGCAGCCAUCGAGCGUAAAAUCAAAGUGUUAGAAGUAUAUGGGGAUUCCGUAUUGGUGAUAUACCAACUCAAAGGAAAAUGGGAGACAAGAGACCCUAAACUGAUCAAUUAUCGAAAUAUGGUUCUUAAAUUGAUAGACGAGUUUGAUGACAUUACUUUUUGUUAUCUUCCACGAGAUGAGAAUCAGAUGGCUGAUGCGUUGGCUACCUUAGCCUCUAUGAUCCGAGUGAAUAGGUUAGAGGGUAUGAAGCCUAUUCAGAUGAGUAUUUUUGAAACCCCGGCUCAUUGUUAUAAUGUUAAGGAAGAGGAAAAUGAUGACCAUCCUUGGUAUUUGAAUAUCUUGUGAUAUGUAAAGAAUCGUGAGUAUCCAGAUCAAGUAACGGAGAAUGAUAAGAGAGCACUGAGAAGAUUGGCUAUUGACUAUGUUUUAGAUGGAGAAAUCCUGUACAAAAAAGGGAAGGAUCAAGUACUGCUAAGAUGUGUGGAGCAGUGGAAGCUAGAAAAAUUCUAGAAGAAGUCCAUGAAGGUAUCUGUGGAAAACAUGCAAAUAGUUUCACAAUGGCCAAGCAGAUUAUGAGAUUUGGGUAUUAUUGGUCUACUUUGGAAAGAGAUUGCAUCAGUUAUGCUAAGAAGUGCCAUAAAUGUCAAAUUUAUGGCGAUAAAAUACAUGCACCUCCUUCACCUCUUCAUGUUAUGACUUCUCCAUGGCCUUUCUCUAUGUGGGGUAUGGACGUCAUUGGGCCAAUAUCGUCAAAGGCUUCAAACGGGCAUCGCUUCAUCUUUGUGGUUAUUGACUACUUUACCAAAUGGGUGGAAGCUGCUUCAUAUGCAAACGUCACGAAGUCAGCAGUUAGUAGAUUCUUGAAAAAAGAAAUCAUAUGUCGAUAUGGAAUGCCUGAGAGGAUCAUAUCUGAUAAUGCGCUGAAUUUGAACAAUAGUGCAAUAGCGGAGGUCUGCAGUCAAUUCAGGAUCAGACAUCAUAACUCGUCGCCAUACCGCCCAAAGAUGAAUGGCGCAGUAGAAGCAGUCAAUAAGAAUAUCAAGAAAAUCGUGGGAAAGAUGGCUGAGACUUACAAGGAUUGGCAUGAGAAAUUACCGUUCGCUCUCUUUGCUUAUAGAACGUCUAUCAGGACGUCGACUGGGGCAACACCUUUCUCUUUGGUUUAUGGCAUGGAAGCAGUUUUACCUAUUGAAAUAGAAAUUCCUUCUCUCCGGGUAUUAUCUGAGUUGAAAUUGGAUGAGGCAGAGUGGGUUCAAUCUCGUUAUGAUCAAUUGAACUUAAUAGAAGGGAAAAGGCUAAAGGCUGUUCGGCAUGGUCAGAUGUAUCAAAAGCGGAUGAUUAUAGCCUAUAACAAAAAGGUUCGUCUGAGAGAAUUUAAUGAGGGGGAGCUGGUGUUGAAAAGGAUCCUUCCUAUACAAAAGGAUUUCAGAGGAAAAUGGAUGCCAAAUUGGGAAGGUCCAUAUGUUGUAAAGAAAACCUUUUCAGGGGAAGCUUUGAUUUUGAGUGAGAUGGAUGGUAAAGAUUUGCCAAACCCUGUAAACUCGGAUGCGGUUAAGAAAUACUUUUCUUAAAAAAAAGGAGAGGCCAAUACGAAAACCCGUAAAGGGCGCUUUGAGACCAAAGGGGAUUUGAGUUGAAAACCCGAAAAGGGCGGCUCAAAUGCUGAUCAGGUGACGCAUCCGGUGAUCUUGCAAUGAUUGAAUCAAUGGGAAAGGAGACGCAACAUCUUGGGGCAUCGACAGAGUAUUGUAGAUCUUCUAAGCAUAUGUCGGAUUUAGAGUGGUCUUCAGGAGCAGAGAAGUUCAAACUGCGAUAUCUGGGGCACCUAGUCUUCUCAGUAUUUAUAUCUAGGAAUACUUUGUUCCUUUUCAAGAUUCAUGUUUCCAAUUUAUUCUUCUUUUCUUCUUACUAUUCUUUAUAAUCUACUCAUCUUGAGCUUUAUUCUCAAUGAAUUUCAUCUUAUCCAUUUCGAUAGUCUUGUUCAAGCAUUCGGACGAUAGAAUAAUACUACUUUUGUAAAGGAAAUUUUGCAUAUUACUUUGGAAAUUUCUAAAUAAUAUGGGAACCUGAAACAGGAUUAUUGUCUAGAACGCACCAGGCUUAAGGGUUGGAAAUUAGGGAAAGAAAAGUCUAAAUUGAGACUAUCCCUUCAUAUUUUGUUCUCAAAGUUAUUGAUUGAACAAAAUGGUAAGCAAUUAUCGCAGAGCAAUAGAAGCAAUUGUUCUUGGAGAAGAAUAUUCUUCAUUUGUGUAUGUGCAUUUGGUAUGACUCCCUAGAAAUGGUGAAAAUGACGAAGGAGCUUCACAUUCUGCAUCCUUGAAUUGUGAUAGUGGAGGAUUGAGAAAAUGUCAGAUCUUUUUACCCUUGGGUUAUCACGAGGGAAAGGUGAUACAAAUUUUGUGUCCCAGUGGAUCAAACUUGGAAGUUCAUAGUGGGGCAAUCUGAUCAAAUGAUUUUUGGAGAUGUUAGUCGAGUAGGGGACGUUGUAGUGCGUCAGUGGUACGGCUUUAAUGAAUUUUGAGUGAUGACGACAAGUAGGGUUAUUAUCAUAAAAUGACAUUCUACAUUUAUUCAAAUGUCAUUUCAUACAUGUCUAGUUAGGAACAUGUGAUUCAUUCUGAUCAUGACAUCCUAAUCAUUAGGCAUAAUUAAGUUCAUAAAUAUGAAUUAUACAGGUCAUGUUCCCCAGAGAACAAACCGAAGAAAUCAAUCAUAUCUCCCUGAGGUUGCAGUGAAGCGGAUUGACGUACGGAUCUUAUCUUUCUGAGGUUGCGAAGAGUAGAUCACAUCAAGUCUUAUCUCCCUGAAGUUGCAGUGGAGCAGACUGAAGACCUAAUCCUAUCUCCCUGGCAUUGUAGUGGAGCAGAUUGAAGCCACAACGGCAGAUCUUACUUCUCUGGCGGUGUAGUGGAGCCGAUUGAAGUCACAACGGCAGAUCUGGUUUCCCCGACAGCGUAAUUAAAAAGAUUGAAGCCACAACGGUGGAUCUUACUUCCCUGGCGGUACAGUGGAGCAGAUUGAAGUCACAACGGCAGAUCUAGUUUUCCCGACAGCGCAAUUAAAAAGAUUGAAGCCACGACGGCGGAUCUUACUUCCCUGGCAGUGUAGUGGAGCAGAUUAAAGUCACAACGGCGGAUCUGGUUUCCCCGACAUUGCAAUUAAAAAGAUUGAAGCCACAACGGCAGAUCUUACUUCCUUGGCGGUGCAUGGAGCAGAUUGAAGUCACAACGGCGGAUCUGGUUUCCCCGACAUUGUAAUUAAAAAGAUUGAAGCCACAACGGCAGAUCUUACUUCCCUGAUGGUGCAGUGGAACAGAUUGAAGCCACGGCGGCGGGUCUGGUUUCUCCGACAUUGCAAUUAAAAAGAUUGAAGCUACAAUGGCGAAUCUUAUUUCUUUGAUGGUGUAGUGGAACAGAUUGAAGCUACGAUGGCGAAUCUUGUUUCCCCGACAUUACACGAAGUGAAUUGAAUCACCAGAUUUUGUACUUCUGAGAAAUGCAUUAGGUUGGAAUGAGGCUACCUGAAGAAGAGGAGCGCCAAGGUUUAGCAUGGUCGGGCAAAAUUGGUUAUUUUUAAAGUCUUUGCUCUGUUCCCGUUACACGACAACGAGCAAAGAGGGGCAGCUGUAAUAUCCAAUUUUAAGCCCGGACCCAAAUAAAUAAGCAUCAAAAAAUAAAAAAAACGGCCCAAAUACAUUUGGCCCAAUAAGGCCCAAGUCAAUAAAGCCCAAACUAUUAAUCCUAGCCCAAUUACAGAGUGGCCCAAAAAGUUCAGCAGAAACCCUAAGCAGUUUGCCCAGCGCCACACACGUCCUCAUGCCGCAGAAACCGUCCCGUUGCUCCACGUUCUUGCUCGCACGUCCAGUAGCCUCGCACAAUGCACGUUUUCCCCACACACAUGCAGCAAACGAUCAAUAAUAGCAGAAAAUAUGGCAAAAAUGUGAGUGGGGGAGUGUUUUUGAGGGUUUUGUUUUUUGGAUUCGGCUAUAAAAAGGCCAAUCAAUCUCUGUAAUGGGGUUAGAAAAUUUUUGUACCGAAAUUUAAGAGAAAGUACAAAAGAAAAAGAAAUAGAAAAGAAAAAAGUUUUUGAAGGUGAUUAUUUUGUUUUUUUUCUCUUUAUUUUUACUGUUUUUUUUUGACGUUCUUCUUUGUUUUUUAAAGCAAAUAAACGAAUAGGGGGAGAAAGGAGGCUUACCUGGUGUCACCGGAGCGUCGUCGGAGGCCAAGGGACGACUUAGCGGCGGUGAAUCUUUGACGGUGGCGACGUGUGGGGGGUGCUAAGAAAAAACCUAGCAGAGAACCCCCCUUUUUCCCCUCUGUUCUUUAAAGAAAAUGAAAUAAAGAUAUUUUUAAAGGAAAUUUUUUUUCUUAUUUUUUUU